GGAUCGGUGGCUAUACCGGAUGUGCCGUAGGUGAAGGUUAACUGCCAGAAGAUGAGCUCGCGUCUGAUUAGCUAGUUGGUAGAGUAAGAGCCUACCAAGGCGACGAUCAGUAGCUGGUCUGAGAGGACGAUCAGCCACACUGGGACUGAGACACGGCCCAGACUCCUACGGGAGGCAGCAGUGGGGAAUUUUCCGCAAUGGGCGAAAGCCUGACGGAGCAAUACCGCGUGAGGGAGGAAGGCUCUUGGGUCGUAAACCUCUUUUCUCAGGGAAGAACACAAUGACGGUACCUGAGGAAUAAGCAUCGGCUAACUCCGUGCCAGCAGCCGCGGUAAUACGGAGGAUGCAAGCGUUAUCCGGAAUGAUUGGGCGUAAAGCGUCCGCAGGUGGCAAUGUAAGUCUGCUGUUAAAGAGUCUAGCUCAACUAGAUACAAGCAGUGGAAACUACAUAGCUAGAGUACGUUCGGGGCAGAGGGAAUUCCUGGUGUAGCGGUGAAAUGCGUAGAGAUCAGGAAGAACACCAGUGGCGAAGGCGCUCUGCUACGCCGUAACUGACACUGAGGGACGAAAGC
This 572-nucleotide ribosomal RNA is filed under the name Rhizonema sp. 'cyanobiont of Peltigera collina'. RNAcentral describes it as "SSU rRNA". It matches the Rfam family "Bacterial small subunit ribosomal RNA", at positions 153 to 760 of the family's 1533-position model. Lineage: Bacteria; Bacillati; Cyanobacteriota; Cyanophyceae; Nostocales; Rhizonemataceae. The record is from RNAcentral.